Molecule: RNA transcript, 653 nt
Organism: Octodon degus (degu)
Lineage: Eukaryota; Metazoa; Chordata; Mammalia; Rodentia; Octodontidae
Gene name: arginine and glutamate-rich protein 1 pseudogene
Exons: 1
Source: RefSeq, a predicted model, not a curated record
AUGUUUAGCUCGCGCUGGCGCUCCACCAACGCGGCGGCUUCCCGGCGCGAGCAGGAGCGCGCCUUGUCCCUGCACAACCGUCUCGACCUCUUUGGGCGCACGGUGAGCAAGCUCAGCAGCCUCGCCGAGAAGCAGAAGCGCGAGGAGGAGGCGGAGAAGGCCGAGUUCCAGCGCCAGUGAAAGAUUCGGCAGCAGGAAACAGAAGAGAAACGCAUCGAGGAAGAAACAGCACGAAGAGUGGAAGAGUUGGUGGCAAAAAGGAUAGAGGAAGAAUUGGAGAAAAGGAUGAAAUUGAGCGCGAGGUUCUCCGAAGGGUGGAGGAAGCCAAGUGCAUCAUGGAAAAGCAGUUGCUCGAAGAACUCGAGCGACAGAGACAAGCUGAGCUUGCAGCACAGAAAGCCAGAGACGAGGAAGAACGAGCAAGGCGUGAGGAGCUGGAGCGAAUACUGGAAGAGAAUAACCGAAAAAUUGCGGAAGCGCAGGCCAAGCUGGCUGGAGAACAGUUGAGAAUUGUUGAAGAACAAAGAAAGAUUCAUGAGGAAAGGAUGAAACUAGAACAGGAACGACAACGACAACAAAAAGAACAAAAAAUUAUCCUGGGCAAGGGGAAGUCCAGACCAAAACUGUCCUUCACAUUAAAAUCCCAGGAUUAA